RNAcentral lists this long non-coding RNA (627 nucleotides) under Monodelphis domestica (gray short-tailed opossum). RNAcentral describes it as "lncRNA (ENSMODG00000039267.1)". The record is from RNAcentral. Lineage: Eukaryota; Metazoa; Chordata; Mammalia; Didelphimorphia; Didelphidae.
AAAGUAGGAAGGAAGGGAAAUUCUGUCCUACUGAAUACCAGGAUUUUCUAAUUUAAUUUAGCCCUCUGUUUUCACAGAAGCAACCAGUUUCCAGCCAGAAAGAUGGGACAGCUCUCUGAGUCUUCUUUCAUUCAAGCUGGAUUGGGGAAGGGAAAAAGAAAUCUCAGGGAGCCUUUUAUAACUUCUUGCCCUUGACUGACUAACUGCUCAGUCUUCAGCUUUUGCAUUCCGGAGUGAGUGUGGAGGCAUUGAGGUCUGCAGGAAUAAAUGAGAGAAGUCCAUAUGCCUCCAGGACUGGAUGACUGAAACAGCUGCAUUUGAAAGAAACACAAAAGAAGAUACUAAAUCCUGUCAUAUCAACCUCAACAGAAUGGGAAUCCUCUCAAAAGGGCUUCCCAUCAGGAAGGCUGAUUUGCUGCAUUUUCCCAGUAACUCACUGAAUGCCACAAAAAAAAACAACAAAAUCCAGAUGAGCAAUCUUUUUUUCAUUGCAAGUACAUAAAAAUGACUCUUUGAGUGGAUGCUGCAGCUUCUAUUCAUUGAAAUUGUUGGCAGAGACAAGAAUGUUUGCAACCUUAAAUUCAUGUCUCCCUGGGAUCUCAGUAUGUUGACACCUCUCCUCCCAAU